Molecule: ribosomal RNA, 253 nt
Filed under: uncultured bacterium
Lineage: Bacteria
Description: partial 16S ribosomal RNA
Rfam family: Bacterial small subunit ribosomal RNA
Source: RNAcentral
UACGGAGGAUCCAAGCGUUAUCCGGAAUCAUUGGGUUUAAAGGGUCCGUAGGCGGUUUUGUAAGUCAGUGGUGAAAGCCCAUCGCUCAACGGUGGAACGGCCAUUGAUACUGCAAGACUUGAAUUAUUGGGAAGUAACUAGAAUAUGUAGUGUAGCGGUGAAAUGCUUAGAGAUUACAUGGAAUACCAAUUGCGAAGGCAGGUUACUACCAAUAUAUUGACGCUGAGGCACGAAAGCGUGGGGAUCAAACAGG